Molecule: long non-coding RNA, 497 nt
Organism: Uranotaenia lowii
Lineage: Eukaryota; Metazoa; Arthropoda; Insecta; Diptera; Culicidae
Exons: 3
Source: RefSeq, a predicted model, not a curated record
UUUCGAGGCUCCACUUAGCAAAAAUACUGCGUUACUUUCGAUUAGCAAUAAGGGUUGUUUUACUAACGCGAUAGCAAAAUGCUUAUUUUGCUUGAAUUUAGUAAAAAAGCCAACUAGCUAGCCGCUUUGUUCGGAUAGCAGCCGCCGGUUGCGAGAGAAAAAAAAUAAAUCAACGUGAAUCAGUACGAUUGGCGGAACCUGUGGAGCCGGGGCUGAUAAGUCAGUGACGAAAUGGUAGCCAGACUAACACCGGAAGCGUACAGGAACUUACCAAUGAAUGAACAGUAAUGCGGUUACGGAAUCGGGUUCACAAGGUGUGAUGGCCAAGUGGCCGACGGAAGGUGGAUAAAACAUCGGAAGCGAAUAGGUUGCUCCUGCCGGCCCUCAUUGCAGGAUGAUCGACAAAAAGGAACCAUUUUCACCCGGGCGAAAGACCAAUUUUAAAGAUCAAGUGGAAAAAUUAGUUAGUUAGUUAAGUGACUUGCAUUUUUUUUUAA